This 33-nucleotide non-coding RNA is filed under the name unclassified sequences. Its description in RNAcentral is "S4-Flavobacteria ribosomal protein leader". It matches the Rfam family "S4-Flavobacteria ribosomal protein leader". The record is from RNAcentral.
GGUUAUCGAAGGAUUGACCUUAAUUCAUAACCC